This 322-nucleotide ribosomal RNA is filed under the name uncultured eukaryote. RNAcentral's name for it is "partial 18S ribosomal RNA". It matches the Rfam family "Eukaryotic small subunit ribosomal RNA", at positions 1470 to 1796 of the family's 1831-position model. The record is from RNAcentral.
CCCUUAGAUGUUCUGGGCCGCACGCGUGCUACACUGAGUGGAUCAGCGGGUCAGGUUGCGCGAAAGCGUUUCCUAAUCUUUAAAUCCGCUCGUGAUGGGGAUUGACGGUUGCAAUUUUCUGUCAUGAACGAGGAAUACCUUGUAAGCGCGGGUCAUCAUCCCGCGCUGAAUACGUCCCUGCCCUUUGUACACACCGCCCGUCGCUCCUACCGAUUGAGUGGUCCGGUGAGGCUUUGGGAUCUGAGCGGAAAGAGCGUUUCGUUGUUUCUGCUCGGAAAACUCAGUCGAACCUUAUCAUUUAGAGGAAGGAGAAGUCGUAACA